This 468-nucleotide ribosomal RNA is filed under the name uncultured bacterium. RNAcentral's name for it is "partial 16S ribosomal RNA". It matches the Rfam family "Bacterial small subunit ribosomal RNA", at positions 28 to 507 of the family's 1533-position model. The record is from RNAcentral.
GACGAACGCUGGCGGCGUGCUUAACACAUGCGAGUCGAACGGAAAGGCCCUGCUUUUGUGGGGUGCUCGAGUGGCGAACGGGUGAGUAACACGUGAGUAACCUGCCCUUGACUUUGGGAUAACUUCAGGAAACUGGGGCUAAUACCGGAUAGGAGCUCCUGCUGCAUGGUGGGGGUUGGAAAGUUUCGGCGGUUGGGGAUGGACUCGCGGCUUAUCGGCUUGUUGGUGGGGUAGUGGCUUACCAAGGCUUUGACGGGUAGCCGGCCUGAGAGGGUGACCGGCGACAUUGGUACUGAGGUACGGCCCAGACUCCUACGGGAGGCAGCAGUGGGGAAUAUUGCACAAUGGGCGGAAGCCUGAUGCAGCAACGCCGCGUGCGGGAUGACGGCCUUCGGGUUGUAAACCGCUUUCGCCUGUGACGAAGCGUGAGUGACGGUAAUGGGUAAAGAAGCACCGGCUAACUACGUG